Molecule: RNA transcript, 1908 nt
Organism: Prosopis cineraria
Lineage: Eukaryota; Viridiplantae; Streptophyta; Magnoliopsida; Fabales; Fabaceae
Gene name: RING-H2 finger protein ATL7-like
Exons: 5
Source: RefSeq, a predicted model, not a curated record
CUUCGAUUCUCUUCAAUCCAUUCCAUAAAUAUUUUUCUCCUUUUCCUUUUUUAUCUUUCUUCUUCAAUAAAUCUAGCUGUGCCUUCAUCCGCCUACAGCCGCCAUCAAUCAGUAUCCCAAGCUAGAUCCUUUUCUCACGCAGGUCAAAUCUACCUUCUUCAAGUCUCUCUUCAAUUAUUUUCACCACAUUUUUUCAUAUUUCUCCGAUUCGGACACCGUUCUUCGGAAGGUUCCGGUAAUUUGAACUUCAUUACAGGUUUCAGUUAUUGCAUUGAACUCAACAUGACUGCUCUGCUAGAUUCUGGUUCAUAACAAUUGAGUUUAUAGAGUGUUCUUUGUUAAUUUUGGGAAUCACUUUACAUCUAUGGGAUUUCUGGGUUCUGGCAAGCCGUUUGGUAAUGUCUCAAGACAGUUCAGACCCUUCUUCGGCUUGCUGCUCAAGAUCGGAUCAUUUGGAUUCGGCUUCAGCUGAACUCAAGCUUUACCGAGCCUUCAUUUUCUCUGUACCCAUCUUCUUCACUUUCAUCCUCCUCUUUCUGUUCUACGUGUUUUACCUUCGACCUCGAAGGGUUGAUUGGUCGUCUCUUAGGAUGAGAGCUUUUGCGGCUGCGGAGGAUAAUGGCGGUAACUCCAGGCCUGAAUUGGGCUUGAAGAAAGAGCUGAGAGAGAUGCUACCGAUUAUCGUAUACAAAGAAAGCUUCUCGGUUAAGGAUACACAAUGCUCAGUUUGCCUUUUGGACUACCAACCAGAGGAUAAGCUUCAACAGAUACCUGCAUGCGGCCAUACAUUUCACAUGAGCUGCAUUGAUCUUUGGCUCACUAACCACAGCACCUGCCCUCUAUGCCGCUUGUCUCUUCUAGCUUCUGCUAAAUCUUCAACUGAGACAUCUAAUUUACAGAGGCCGUCUGGCAAUGAAGAAACACCAACUGCUCAAUUCUCUGAAUCAAGAUCUACAACGCAUCCAGAUAAUAGUGUAGCUGUGUAGCCCAAAAUUGCUCUAGAGAUAAUUCAAGCAGUGCCCACUGCAUUGAUGUUGAAAGAGGAAAUGCUGAAAGCAGUUAGAAGAGGUGUGAAGACAUGAGAGGCUUGUUAUGAAUACAAUGUUGAGGUGAGCAUUGCCAAUUACAUAAUUUAAAAACUAUUUCAGGUAAGUUUGAAUAUUGAAUAGCUUCUACUUUUUUAAAUUUAAGACCUGUAGUGCUGCAUACUACGGUUUCCUUAAUUUUUUUUCUCUAGGAUUUUAUUUUUUCAACUUUUCUGUCUACUUAGAUCUUUAUUCUUGACAAACUACAACUCUAAGCUGACUUUUCCUUACUAUUAUUGUCCUUACAGAGAAGGACCGUAUCACUUUACAAUUAGCUACUAAUGAAAGAUGUAUAUUUAGCAAAUAGUAAUAAACUAGUAGUAACUUAAGUUUGUCACCCUUUCAUAUGUGUCUCCUGCUUGGUCUUUUUCAUAAGGCCAUGUUAACUACUUUCAUUAGAUCAUGGAAAUUAGUAAAAAGUAAAUUUUGUGAAGGUCCUAUGUUAAGGAUCAAUAGGUAAGAGUUAAGACCUUGUAAAUAGACCGGCAAGAGUAGUUCCAUUUUAUUGGAUGUUUUCAAAGGGACAUCAGGUUCCUGUUUGAUGUUAUAUUACUCUCUCUCUCUCUCUCUCUCUCUCACAUAUCUUACCCUAGAAGACAGAGUUUACUUUAGAUGUGCUCAUUACUUGUUAGUGAUUAGUUUCUUUUUUAGUUUAUUUAGUGAAUGUAUUUUUGGACUUUGUCCGGCUCCCUCUUGGGGAACCUCUUAGGGCAAAACUUUGAUAUUUCCUUAUUGAAUUAAGGAUUUUAGCCCUUGGCCUGAGUAUUCCUGUGAAGAUUCAUAUCAAUAUUGGUAAUGAGAGAUAUUAUAUCUUAUCAACUGA